UGCCGGGUCGUCUAACGGUAGGACAGCGCCCUUUGGAGGCGUUUGCGUAGGUUCGAAUCCUGCCCCGGCAG
Molecule: transfer RNA, 71 nt
Filed under: Ignavibacteriaceae bacterium
Lineage: Bacteria; Pseudomonadati; Ignavibacteriota; Ignavibacteria; Ignavibacteriales; Ignavibacteriaceae
Description: tRNA-Gln
Rfam family: tRNA
About the family: Transfer RNA (tRNA) molecules are approximately 80 nucleotides in length. Their secondary structure includes four short double-helical elements and three loops (D, anti-codon, and T loops).
Source: RNAcentral